This is a non-coding RNA of Saimiri boliviensis boliviensis (Bolivian squirrel monkey), 3088 nucleotides long. NCBI's taxonomy places the organism in Eukaryota, Metazoa, Chordata, Mammalia, Primates, Cebidae. The record is from RefSeq and is a predicted model, not a curated record.
ACAGGUUGCCCCAUAAUGACCCUGGAGACUCCCGCCUGCCCCCAGUGAAGGAAUUGGUUACUCGCCCAGAGCCCUCCCGGGCAUCGCCCCCUUCCUCACUUCCUCCUCUUCCUGCCCCCAGCCUCUACCCCUCCAGCCUCCUGUGGCUUCACAGCCAAGUGCCCCAUCUCAGGAAGAAGGAGUCCGGCGAUGCUAUUCAAAAACAGAUGGGGUAAGGGGGCAGAUUUAACCCACAGGAUAUAGUUGCCACUCCUGUUCUUGAUAGAGGAGAAGCCCUCAAAGCCUCGCUCCAUCGCCUUCUCAGCUUGUAUGCUUUGAAGAAGCAAGCUGCAGUGUUGGGGAAGCCCCUGUGGCAAGAAAAUGAGGGUGGCUUCCAGCUGAUGGCUGGUGAGAAACUGAGACCUACCUUCCUUCCUUCCAGCAAUCGUCAAGUAACUGACUCUUCCCAACACCAUGUGGGUGAGCUUACAAGUGAACCUUUCUCUAGUUGAGGUUUCAGAUAAGACCACAGAUAUUAUACUAACACCUUAAUUGCAGGCUUAUGAGAAACAUUGAAACGAGAAGACUAAGUAAAACCAUAUCGGGAUUCCUGACUUACAGAAACUGUGAGAUGACAAAUGUGUGUUAUCUUCAGCCACAAAGUUUUGGGGGUGAUUUGUUACACAGCAGUUGAUAAUAGCUACCUCAACCUAUAGUGAUAAAUGGAUGUCUAUUUACUCAUUCUCUCUACCAAAAUGUUACGUUCCUGUAGGGCAGAGGUUAAAACAUAUUCAUCCUGAUACUUCUUCUCACAGCUCAUAACAUGCAACCUGGCCCACAAUACAUGAUUAAUCAAUGUUUGUUAAAUUAACUUGUAUUUUGAGUUUCAUUGAAAUCAGUUAAUUGAAGUGACAAAGAUAACAUUUAAAUGUGCAUCAGCAGUAGUACAAAGCAGAUGGCUGGUUACGAUACAAAGUUUUUGAAAAUUGUGAGGGGAAAAAAUUAUUUAUAUUUGUACCCUGUUGUACCCAGCUUAGGUUUCAAAAACUUUCAGGGGGGGUUUAUUCAUUUACAAAAGACUUCAAAGUCAGUGCCUCCCCACCACACCACAGAGGUCUUUGUCCUUAUUGAUCCAACAGUACUGACUUGCCCGGCGCAUAGUGGGAGCGACUAUAAGGAGAGAGGAGAAGAAAGAAAUAGAAACAACUGUGAAAAAAGUUGAAGAAAAAAGAAAAGGAUAGAAAAAGAGCAAGGAAAAAGAAGAUGUAGUUAACAUCCAAGCCAGAUGCAGAGAAAUGAUUCAAAAGAAAAAGUCUGAUUUUCCUGUCUGUAGUCAUAAAUAUUUUGACAAGGCACUAGGCAUUUAUCAAAAAGGAGGAAAAAAAAAAAGAAUAACAGAGUUUGUCUUCCAAAGGACCCAACACUCUUGGAAUUCAAUGACCUAAUUCUAUAUAUGGUUGCAGUGUAGAGACUGCCUCUCUUGUCUGAUUCUCAUGGCACUGAGACCUCUGAUUUCUCAACAGCGCAGGGCACAGGACUAUCAGAAGUCAGGAAUGAAGAACAGAGGAUGUGGGGAACAGUCUAGAUAUUAUGCUCAGCAAACAUAUUUUUAAGUCAGUGUAGAUUCUCACUCUCUAUCUUGCUGGUUGCUUAUCUUAGCAGUUAAAUCAACUUUUCAUUACUUUUGUAGACAUUAUAUAAUAUUUUCUCCCUGCAGCUCCAGCCACCAGCUGUUAGUCAGCAGAAUGGGAGAGGGAUUGGGUCAGCUUGAGCAGAAUAACUUCCAUGCAGACUUACGAGGGAACCAAUUCCCAGCCACUGAACAAACCUAAAUGUACUACAAUGACCAUAGAACCAAAGAGAUCUUAAGAGAGAAAUCUGAGAGCAUUCAAAGGUCAAAACAAUUGGAGCUAGUUCCUUCAAGCUUAAAUAUUCUCAUCUGUAAAGGGGGGACAAUAAGUGUGUGUCUUAUAGGGUUAUUUUGAAAGCUAACUAUGUGUAAAAGCCUCAGUCUACUGAAAGGUUACUCGACCAUAAUACUCUUUUCAUUUUGUGUGGGAUAAUCCUUUGUUGUGGGUUAAGGAUACUGUCUUGUACAUUACAGGAUAUUUAAAAUGUCCUUAGCUUCUAUCGACCAGAUGCUAACACCCCACCCACAGACCACCAUCCUCUCCAUCAUCACCAUCAAAAACGUCUCCAGACAUUUCCAAGUGACCCCUGGGAGGGUAAAAUCACCCCUGGUUGAGAACCAGUGUUCUAGUGCUUGGCAUUGUUCCAUAAAUAUCGGAUGAUAUUUUUAUCAUUAUAAUUAUUACUAAAGGCAGCACCACCCUGCUAUGGUGACAGCUCCUCAGUCUCACUGAAUGCCCAAAAUAGUUACCGCAUUUCUGCAUCUUUUCAAGAGUAACGGUUGAAAAGAGACAUGGCAAUUCAUCUGACAGCAAUCCAAUAGGAAACCUGCUGUCUCCGUAGAAACUCUUUUCAUGGAAAGAGAAGGGGCUACCAUUUUGUUCUGCUGCAGGAACCAGCUCUAUUCUUCAGCCUUACAGUUUGUGAAAUGCUGCAGACUUUUCCAGGGGCAUAAAUUCUCCAACUUUAGGGAUUGCCGGUAUAAUUGACUCUUGAAGCUGAUGUUGGAUUUCCAAAGUUACCACCAUUUUUACCUUAGAAAGGAAGGAAAAAGAUAUUCAAGAAGGAGAAUUUUUCAACAGAAGUUACCCCAUUUGCUGUUUUUGUGGUUUUGUGCUUGUUUGGGUUUGCAAGUAUGUUUUUUGCCCAAAUUGUUCUUGCAUAUUCUAACAGUGUUUGCUUUACGUGUUUUGAUACCACGCUGUUUUGAAGGUACAAAUGUUUUUCAUGGCAUGUCUUGUGUUAAGUGCACAAACUGAGAGGUGAAUAUUGGGACUGAAUAGAGUACAGUAUUCCUCAAAGUUUUUAACCAAAUAAACGCUAAGAGGAAAGUGAAGCAAGAUUUCUAGAGGUCUGGAAGUGGCCAGCUGAUAAUACGGCAUCUCUAUCCCUCCUAUUUUUAUCUUUAGACUAAAUGCAAAUUUUUCUUUCUGUGCUAAAAGGAAGUUUCACUAGUUUCAAGGUAAAAAUAUGUAAAUAG